Long non-coding RNA from Tachysurus fulvidraco (yellow catfish), 735 nucleotides. RefSeq lists it as uncharacterized. The record is from RefSeq and is a predicted model, not a curated record. The transcript is spliced from 3 exons. Lineage: Eukaryota; Metazoa; Chordata; Actinopteri; Siluriformes; Bagridae.
GAAUUAGAUUUCUGCCAUUUUCAAGAAAGUAGUCAAAGCUGGGUGAGAGGCAAGAGUCUGAGGUAUUUAAAGAAGCAAUUACAACUAAGAUGAUUGUCAGGAAUUGAGAGGGAACAAGUCAUUUACGAAGGUUGGUGAGGUGAGAUCAUGGAUGGAUGUGACACCAGGAGAUAAAAGCAUCUGAGAGAUUGGAAGGAUCACAGCUUUUGUCUAGUGGAAACUAGGAUCUCUUGAGCAGCCUGAGUUAUCUUGAUCGGCAUACGAGUUGAUAGCAAUGAUGACCCAGGAUUCGAGCAGGAAUGUGUGGAUUUUGGCUUGGGACUUCAUAGACUAUCUGCAGGAGGUUCUCUGACCUUUGAGGCUCCUCUGUCGUGUUGCUGGAGGUUGGCAGGGGUCGUGUGAUGCAGCGGUAUCAAUAAUGGAAGAAAGGAGCCCCCUCCCUGCUGCAAGGCUGGUAUAUGGGUCAGGCAACGCUCUCUGUGGACACAGGGAGAUUGAUGAGGAUCGCCAGGGAGAGUGCCUGAGCUCCAGCCCCUGCACCGUGAGCUCACAGUCGGGAUCCCCAUGCUCACUUUCCCCUGGCUCCCCUCCAGCACUGCACAACCUGGUGCUCUUUAAAUGACCUUCAUGUUCUCCUUGUAUUGCAUGUUCUCCAAAAGUGAAAAAAAAAAAUUAUUGUGCUAGACUCAGGAUAUGUAGACAUAAGUAAUAAAUUCAAGAAAAAUGGGCAUUGAA